GAUGAACGCUAGCUACAGGCUUAACACAUGCAAGUCGAGGGGCAGCAUGAUUGAAGCUUGCUUCAAUCGAUGGCGACCGGCGCACGGGUGAGUAACACGUAUCCAACCUGCCGAUAACUCGGGGAUAGCCUUUCGAAAGAAAGAUUAAUACCCGAUAGUAUAGUAUUUCCGCAUGGUUUCACUAUUAAAGAACUUCGGUUAUCGAUGGGGAUGCGUUCCAUUAGAUAGUUGGCGGGGUAACGGCCCACCAAGUCAACGAUGGAUAGGGGUUCUGAGAGGAAGGUCCCCCAGAUUGGAACUGAGGCACAGUCCAAAAUCCUACGGGAGGCAGGAGUAAGGAAUAUUGGUCGAUGGACGAGAGUCUGAAACAGCCAAGUAGCGUGAAGGAUGACUGCCAUAUGGGUUGUAAACUUCUUUUAUACGGGAAUAAAGUGGGGUAUGCAUAAUCCUUUGUAUGUACCGUAUGAAUAAGGAUCGGCUAACUCCGUG
RNAcentral lists this ribosomal RNA (489 nucleotides) under uncultured bacterium. RNAcentral's name for it is "partial 16S ribosomal RNA". It matches the Rfam family "Bacterial small subunit ribosomal RNA", at positions 28 to 507 of the family's 1533-position model. The record is from RNAcentral.